Molecule: non-coding RNA, 125 nt
Organism: Triticum aestivum (bread wheat)
Lineage: Eukaryota; Viridiplantae; Streptophyta; Magnoliopsida; Poales; Poaceae
Source: Rfam
CAAAUACUCCCUCCGUCCGGAAUUAUUUGUCAUCAAAAUGGAUGAAAAUGGAUGUAUCUAAAACUAAAAUACAUCUAGAUACAUCCAUUUCAAUGGCAAAUAUUUCCGGACGGAGGGAGUAGUAA